AUGGACGACGACUUCGGCUGCGUGAUCGGCGUCGCCGGGAGGGGAGAAUUCGCGGUGGUGGCGUCGGGAACCCCCAUCGUGCACCUCGACGCCCACAGGCUUCUCGCCAUCUCCGGCAACCACCAGAACCGCGCAAGGUUCGCGAGGACGAUGUGCCGCAGAUGGAAGGGGCUGACCGGCGUCCCGUACCCCGACACCGCCACGGUCGCCGACCUCGCGCGCGAGCUGCUCGACCGCGGCCACUCCGUCGAGGCCCUGGUCGUGGGCUACAACCAGGCCCAGCCCCACGCGGCGGUGAGCUGCCUCGGCCCCGCGCUCCCGCGCGGCCAGUUCCUGUUCGGGGCCGCGGGCCGGGGUGCGGAGGCCUGCAGGGCGGUGCUGCGCCGGGGCUACCGCGACACCAUGUCGUCGAGCGACGUGAUCGAGCUCGUGGAGAGCUGCAUCGCGGAGAUCCGCCGGCUCGGGGUUCCCGGGGCUGCCGGCGAGUUUGCGGUCCAGUAUGUCGACAGAUGGGGAGCGGCGCCCGUGGGAAGGGAGGUCAGGGAGACGAUGACUAUCUAUCGACAGAUGGCACUCGAAGUGUUAAAAUCACAUGGUGAAGGAGGAUCUAGUGGAUCAUCUUAG
This 624-nucleotide ribosomal RNA is filed under the name Triticum aestivum (bread wheat). RNAcentral describes it as "partial small subunit ribosomal RNA". The record is from RNAcentral. Lineage: Eukaryota; Viridiplantae; Streptophyta; Magnoliopsida; Poales; Poaceae.